Molecule: long non-coding RNA, 536 nt
Organism: Ictalurus punctatus (channel catfish)
Lineage: Eukaryota; Metazoa; Chordata; Actinopteri; Siluriformes; Ictaluridae
Source: Ensembl
GUUAGUGUGUAAUUAGUGUGUAGUAGUGUGUAUAGUGUGUAGUUAGUGUGUAGUAGUGUGUAGUUAGUGUGUAGUUAGCGUGUAGUUAGUGUAAAUUAGUGUGUAGUUAGUGUGUAGUUAGCGUGUAGUUAGUGUGUAGUUAGUGUGAAAUUAGUGUGUAGUUAGUGUGUAGUUAGUGUGUAGUUAGUGUGUGCUAGUCGGUAGUUAGUGUGUAGUUAGCGUGUAGUUAGUGUCGUUAGUGUGAAAUGAGCGUGUAGUUAGCGUGAAAUUAGUGUGUGUUAGUGUGUAGUUAGUGUGUUAUUAGUGUGUAAUUAGUGUGUAGUUAGUGUGUAGUUAGCUUAUAGUGUGUAGUUAGUGUGUAGUUAGUGUGUAGUUAGUGUGUAGUUAGCGUUUAGUGUGUAGUUAGUGUGAAAUUAGUGUGUAGUUAGCAUGUAGUUAGCGUUUAGUGUGUAGUUAGUGUGUAGUUAGUGUGUAGUUAGCAUGUAGUUAGCGUGUUGUGUAUAGUUAGUGUGAAGUUAGUGUGUAGUUAGCAUGUA